GCAUAUCAAUAAGCGGAGGAAAAGAAACCAACAGGGAUUGCCCUAGUAACGGCGAGUGAAGCGGCAACAGCUCAAAUUUGAAAUCUGGCGCAAGCCCGAGUUGUAAUUUGUAGAGGAUGCUUCUAGGUAGCGACCGGUCUAAGUUCCUUGGAACAGGACGUCAUAGAGGGUGAGAAUCCCGUAUGUGACCGGCCCGCACCUUCUACGUAGCUCCUUCGACGAGUCGAGUUGUUUGGGAAUGCAGCUCUAAAUGGGAGGUAAAUUUCUUCUAAAGCUAAAUACCGGCCAGAGACCGAUAGCGCACAAGUAGAGUGAUCGAAAGAUGAAAAGCACUUUGGAAAGAGAGUUAAAAAGCACGUGAAAUUGUUGAAAGGGAAGCGCUCACAACCAGACUUCUGGGCGGUGUUCCGCCGGUCUUCUGACCGGUCUACUCACCGUCCCGAGGCCAACAUCAUCUGGGACCGCUGGAUAAGACCUCAGGAAUGUAGCUCCCCCUCGGGGGAGUGUUAUAGCCUGUGGUGAUGCAGCGCGUCUCGGGUGAGGUCCGCGCUUCGGCAAGGAUGUUGGCGUAAUGGUUGUCAGCGGCCCGUCUUGAAACACGGACCAAGGAGUCUAACAUCUAUGCGAGUGUUCGGGUGUCAAACCCCUACGCGUAAUGAAAGUGAACGGAGGUGGGAAGCGUAAGCUGCACCAUCGACCGAUCCUGAUGUCCUCGGAUGGAUUUGAGUAAGAGCAUAGCUGUUGGGACCCGAAAGAUGGUGAACUAUGCCUGAAUAGGGUGAAGCCAGAGGAAACUCUGGUGGAGGCUCGCAGCGGUUCUGACGUGCAAAUCGAUCGUCAAAUUUGGGUAUAGGGGCGAAAGACUAAUCGAACCAU
This 876-nucleotide ribosomal RNA is filed under the name Ramularia hydrangeae-macrophyllae. RNAcentral describes it as "eukaryotic LSU rRNA". It matches the Rfam family "Eukaryotic large subunit ribosomal RNA", at positions 38 to 943 of the family's 3401-position model. Lineage: Eukaryota; Fungi; Ascomycota; Dothideomycetes; Mycosphaerellales; Mycosphaerellaceae. The record is from RNAcentral.